GUCUAAAUCAGGUCUAAACCAGGACUAAAACACUGUAGAAUAUAGGUCUAAACCAGGACUAAACCAGGACUAAAACACUGUAGAAUAAGGGUCUAAAUCAGGUCUAAACCAGGACUAAACCAGGAUUACACCAGGACUAAAACGCUGUAGAAUAUAGGUCUAAACCAGGUGUAAACCAGGACUAAACCAGGACUAAAACACUGUAG
Long non-coding RNA from Solea senegalensis (Senegalese sole), 206 nucleotides. RefSeq lists it as uncharacterized. Lineage: Eukaryota; Metazoa; Chordata; Actinopteri; Pleuronectiformes; Soleidae. The transcript has 3 exons. The record is from RefSeq and is a predicted model, not a curated record.